Long non-coding RNA from Larimichthys crocea (large yellow croaker), 1243 nucleotides. RefSeq lists it as uncharacterized. The transcript is spliced from 3 exons. Lineage: Eukaryota; Metazoa; Chordata; Actinopteri; Sciaenidae. The record is from RefSeq and is a predicted model, not a curated record.
UCCACACACACACUCCUCCUACUUAUUUGAAAGCAUGCGGCGUCUGGUUAGACUAGUUUUAUUUGCAUUAAAACAUGGCAAGAAACAGCUUAUUGUCUGUUUGUUUUCACAUCAUUGUUAUGAUGCAUGACUUUAAUUUGCAGAGAGAGAUUAAUUAAUGAUUGUUCAUAUUGGAGCAGUACGACUAGGCCUCAUCCACGUGGAAAUGUGAGGAUAAGGUGGUAAAAUCGUGUCAAUGCGGUGUUUUCUGAGGUGACUGCACCCACACGUGGGCAGAAGGGUGGUGUACCUUCAUAUGGUUUUAUAGAGGAUGCAGGAAAUGGAAGUUUGGAUGGAUCACUGCAACGAAGUAAGUGUCUUGACUGAGCAGGACAUGGCUGGUAAAGGUUAUGAAUGAUGACUAUGGUUAGACUUCUGUUUUCUUUGUUUGCGAAGAUCAAGAAACGGAAGCACACCUCGUUUGACACCAUGACAUGUAUGUAUUUAUGAACUGGGUGAUUUACAAAUUUUUACUGUAUGAUGUAACAAAUGUCCUUUUAUGAAUAAAGCAUUUAUCAACAGACUCUGUAUCGUUGAUUUCAUUCUUAACAUGUUUUGGUAAACUGAUUUUAAGGCACUAUACUUCAAACCUGAACGGCCUUCUGCUUGGCUGUUCAAAGGUUAAGAGUGGUGCAAGAACAAAUCAUGUCCUGUCAUAACUGGAGUUUCUUGGCAACUUCACCAAGUCUCUCUUUUAAAGCAAGACACAGAAUUUAAACGCAGCUCACAGCAACAACAACUGUGCCAUAAAUUCAUGUAUUGGCUAUUCCGUCUACUAUUGAGUUUGUAGUAGUGUUAAACUGAACUGUGUUAUAGAGAGGUGUUUCUAACAUUUUGGCCACCCCAUUUACUUACAUGAAGAUCAUAAUAUUAGAAGCACCUUUCAAUAUAAUGCACUCCUGUUAAACAUCAUCCACUAAGAUCUCAGGAAUAAACAAAGUAGAAUUAUGACCCCUCCUGAUACUAACAAAACCUGAAACAGGAAGAAAAGUUUAAUUUAAUCACGCUGGAUUGUAACUAAUGAAGCCAAUGUGGGUACUUCAAAGUUUGAAGGCAAAAAUUUUAGAGAUAAGUAUGCAGUGCUGCUGAGAGUUUAGUCCCUGUGUACUCGCAUUGUAUUGCAGCUCUACAUGUGACUAUAGGUUAAUGGUUAUAUAAUGUGUGCAAUUUUUCAUUUUGGCAAUAUUAAACAUGGAGAGAUGCA